This 486-nucleotide ribosomal RNA is filed under the name uncultured bacterium. Its description in RNAcentral is "bacterial SSU rRNA". It matches the Rfam family "Bacterial small subunit ribosomal RNA", at positions 501 to 990 of the family's 1533-position model. The record is from RNAcentral.
CUACGUGCCAGCAGCCGCGGUAAUACGGAAGGUCCAGGCGUUAUCCGGAUUUAUUGGGUUUAAAGGGAGCGUAGGCUGGAGAUUAAGUGUGUUGUGAAAUGUAGACGCUCAACGUCUGAAUUGCAGCGCAUACUGGUUUCCUUGAGUACGCACAACGUUGGCGGAAUUCGUCGUGUAGCGGUGAAAUGCUUAGAUAUGACGAAGAACUCCGAUUGCGAAGGCAGCUGACGGGAGCGCAACUGACGCUUAAGCUCGAAGGUGCGGGUAUCGAACAGGAUUAGAUACCCUGGUAGUCCGCACAGUAAACGAUGGAUGCCCGCUGUUAGCGCCUGGCGUUAGCGGCUAAGCGAAAGCAUUAAGCAUCCCACCUGGGGAGUACGCCGGCAACGGUGAAACUCAAAGGAAUUGACGGGGGCCCGCACAAGCGGAGGAACAUGUGGUUUAAUUCGAUGAUACGCGAGGAACCUUACCCGGGCUUGAAUUGCC